GCGGCUUCGCCUGUGCGGACAGUGCCGUCGGGAGAUGAGAGGGGAGCCCCGAACACACCGAAGAGAAGGACAACUCUAAACGCGGGCAGAUGGAGCUCGUUCAGCCCUGUAAGGCAGAUGAACCUUAGGAUCAAAGGGUGGGCUCAGUUCAGCGCUCACUGUGUCUCACCUGAAAAAUCCACUGCGCGGGCCCGAAGGCCUUACCCGCAUUUGCAAAGCCCUGUAUCACCAGCGCGCUUGUAACAAUUGUGGGUAAAGAUCUUGCCCAAAUUUUCGUUCGCGAAGACUGGCCAUGAUGAUGAUGAUGAUGAUUCUACUCCUCCCAAGGGCUGUGGAACAUCACAUCGACCCUCUCCUUUCUUCCUCUGCCCUCUGCUGAAGCCUCCUCUUUUGACCAGGUGUUUGUUAAAAUUACAUGGGUUGCUGAAGUGGCUAUGGCAAAGGAUAAUGCCGAGAAUAUCGUAACUGUCAAAACAACUGCGUAGGCAAG
Manacus vitellinus (golden-collared manakin) is the source of this 490-nucleotide long non-coding RNA. RefSeq lists it as uncharacterized. The transcript is spliced from 3 exons. The record is from RefSeq and is a predicted model, not a curated record. Lineage: Eukaryota; Metazoa; Chordata; Aves; Passeriformes; Pipridae.